AACGAACGCUGGCGGCAUGCCUAACACAUGCAAGUCGAACGAAGUCUUCGGACUUAGUGGCGCACGGGUGCGUAACGCGUGGGAAUCUGCCCUUGGGUGCGGAAUAACUUCUCGAAAGGGAUGCUAAUACCGCAUAAUGUCGUAAGACCAAAGAUUUAUCGCCCAAGGAUGAGCCCGCGUAAGAUUAGCUAGUUGGUGGGGUAAAAGCCUACCAAGGCGACGAUCUUUAGCUGGUCUGAGAGGAUGAUCAGCCACACUGGGACUGAGACACGGCCCAGACUCCUACGGGAGGCAGCAGUGGGGAAUAUUGGACAAUGGGCGAAAGCCUGAUCCAGCAAUGCCGCGUGAGUGAUGAAGGCCCUAGGGUUGUAAAGACUCUUUUACCAGGGAUGAUAAUGACAGUACCUGGAGAAUAAGCCCCGGCUAACUUCGUGCCAGCAGCCGC
This 445-nucleotide ribosomal RNA is filed under the name uncultured bacterium. RNAcentral describes it as "bacterial SSU rRNA". It matches the Rfam family "Bacterial small subunit ribosomal RNA", at positions 29 to 518 of the family's 1533-position model. The record is from RNAcentral.